GCUAGGACGAACGCUGGCGGCGUGCUUAACACAUGCAAGUCGAACGGGGAUAUCCGAGCGGAAGGUUUCGGCCGGAAGGUUGGAUAUUCGAGUGGCGGACGGGUGAGUAACGCGUGAACAAUCUGUCCCAGACAGGGGGAUAACACUUGGAAACAGGUGCUAAUACCGCAUAAGACCACGGGGUCGCAUGGCCGAGGGGUAAAAGGAGGAAUCCGGUUUGGGGUGAGUUCGCGUCCGAUUAGCCAGUUGGUGAGGUAACGGCCCACCAAAGCGACGAUCGGUAGCCGACCUGAGAGGGUGAUCGGCCACAUUGGAACUGAGAGACGGUCCAAACUCCUACGGGAGGCAGCAGUGGGGAAUAUUGGGCAAUGGGCGAAAGCCUGACCCAGCAACGCCGCGUGAGUGAAGAAGGCCUUCGGGUUGUAAAGCUCUGUUAUAGGGGACGAAGGAGUGACGGUACCCUAUAAGGAAGCCCCGGCUAACUACGUGCCAGCAGCUGC
Molecule: ribosomal RNA, 500 nt
Filed under: uncultured bacterium
Lineage: Bacteria
Description: bacterial SSU rRNA
Rfam family: Bacterial small subunit ribosomal RNA
Source: RNAcentral